AGAGUUUGAUCCUGGCUCAGGACGAACGUUGGCGGUGCGCUUAAUGCAUGCAAGUCGAGGGAGAGGCGUUUGUUCCGUAAGGUCCAGACGUGGAAACCGGCGAACGGGUGAGUAACACGUGAGAAACCUGCCUCUUAGAUCGGGAUAGCCCGAGGAAACUCGGAUUAAUACCGAAUACUCUCCUUGGACCACAUGGUCCGUUGAGGAAACAGUCCGCUGCUAAGAGAUGGUCUCGCGGCCUAUCAGCUUGUUGGUGAGGUAACGGCUCACUAAGGCUAAGACGGGUAGCUGGUCUGAGAGGACGAUCAGCCACACUGGAACUGAGACACGGUCCAGACUCCUACGGGAGGCAGCAGCAGGGAAUAUUGCACAAUGGGCGAAAGCCUGAUGCAGCGACACCGCGUGCGGGAUGACGGCCUUAGGGUUGUAAACCGCUUUCAGGAGGGAAGAAAAUGACGGUACCUCCAGAAGAAGCUCCGGCCAACUACGUGCCAGCAGCCGCGGUAAUACGUAGGGAGCAAACGUUGUCCGGAUUUAUUGGGCGUAAAGGGCUCGUAGGCGGUUCAACAAGUCGGUCGUGAAAGCCCGGAGCUCAACUCCGGGAUGCCGGUCGAAACUGUUGUGACUAGAGUUCGGUAGAGGUGAGUGGAAUUCUCGGUGUAGCGGUGGAAUGCGCAGAUAUCGAGAGGAACACCAUUAGCGAAGGCGGCUCACUGGGCCGAUACUGACGCUGAGGAGCGAAAGCAUGGGGAGCAAACAGGAUUAGAUACCCUGGUAGUCCAUGCCGUAAACGAUGAACACUAGGUGUAGCGGAUUUAUUCACAUUUGCUGCGCCGUAGCUAACGCAUUAAGUGUUCCGCCUGGGGAGUACGGCCGCAAGGCUAAAACUCAAAGGAAUUGACGG
RNAcentral lists this ribosomal RNA (904 nucleotides) under uncultured bacterium. Its description in RNAcentral is "bacterial SSU rRNA". It matches the Rfam family "Bacterial small subunit ribosomal RNA", at positions 8 to 916 of the family's 1533-position model. The record is from RNAcentral.